UACAGAGGUCUCAAGCGUUGUUCGGAUUCAUUGGGCGUAAAGGGUGCGUAGGUGGCGCGGUAAGUCGGGUGUGAAAUCUCGGAGCUUAACUCCGAAAUUGCAUUCGAUACUGCCGUGCUCGAGGACUGGAGAGGAGACUGGAAUUCAUGGUGUAGCAGUGAAAUGCGUAGAGAUCAUGAGGAAGACCAGUGGCGAAGGCGGGUCUCUGGACAGUUCCUGACGCUGAGGCGCGAAGGCCAGGGGAGCAAGCGGG
RNAcentral lists this ribosomal RNA (253 nucleotides) under uncultured bacterium. Its description in RNAcentral is "partial 16S ribosomal RNA". It matches the Rfam family "Bacterial small subunit ribosomal RNA", at positions 524 to 776 of the family's 1533-position model. The record is from RNAcentral.